CUGAACCAGCCAAGUAGCGUGAAGGAUGAAGGUCCUACGGAUUGUAAACUUCUUUUAUACGGGAAUAAAGUAUCCUACGUGUAGGAUUUUGUAUGUACCGUAUGAAUAAGGAUCGGCUAACUCCGUGCCAGCAGCCGCGGUAAUACGGAGGAUGCGAGCGUUAUCCGGAUUUAUUGGGUUUAAAGGGAGCGUAGACGGGUUUUUAAGUCAGUUGUGAAAGUUUGCGG
This 227-nucleotide ribosomal RNA is filed under the name uncultured Bacteroides sp. RNAcentral describes it as "partial 16S ribosomal RNA". It matches the Rfam family "Bacterial small subunit ribosomal RNA", at positions 383 to 607 of the family's 1533-position model. Lineage: Bacteria; Pseudomonadati; Bacteroidota; Bacteroidia; Bacteroidales; Bacteroidaceae. The record is from RNAcentral.